AGCAGCCGCGGUAAUUCCAGCUCCAAUAGCGUAUAUUAAAGUUGUUGCAGUUAAAAAGCUCGUAGUUGAAUUUCGGAAUCUGUCCAUCGGUCGGGCUUCACUGUCCGUACUGGUGUGGUGGGUUCUUACCUUCUGAAUAACCAGCAUGCCAUUCACUUGGUGCGUUGGGGAAGCAGGACUAUUACCUUGAAAAAAUUAGAGUGCUCAAAGCAGGCUAGUGCCUGAAUACAUUAGCAUGGAAUAAUAAAAUAGGACGGCAUGGUUCUAUUUUGUUGGUUUCUAGGAUCACCGUAAUGAUUAAUAGGGAUAGUUGGGGGCAUUAGUAUUCAAUUGUCAGAGGUGAAAUUCUUGGAUUUAUUGAAGACUAACUUCUGCGAAAGCAUUUGCCAAGGAUGUUUUCAUUAAUCAAGAACGAAAGUUAGGGGAUCGAAGACGAUCAGAUACCGUCGUAGUCUUAACCAUAAACUAUGCCGACUAGGGAUCGGACGAUGUUAAUUUUUUAAUGACUCGUUC
RNAcentral lists this ribosomal RNA (513 nucleotides) under uncultured Acaulospora. Its description in RNAcentral is "SSU rRNA". It matches the Rfam family "Eukaryotic small subunit ribosomal RNA", at positions 569 to 1081 of the family's 1831-position model. The record is from RNAcentral. Lineage: Eukaryota; Fungi; Glomeromycota; Glomeromycetes; Diversisporales; Acaulosporaceae.